Hyposmocoma kahamanoa is the source of this 149-nucleotide long non-coding RNA. RefSeq lists it as uncharacterized. The transcript is spliced from 3 exons. NCBI's taxonomy places the organism in Eukaryota, Metazoa, Arthropoda, Insecta, Lepidoptera, Cosmopterigidae. The record is from RefSeq and is a predicted model, not a curated record.
GGUCUACUCGUGUUGGCGUCGUAUUACUUCAGUCUAUUUUUGACGGGCAAAUCAUCAAACGUCAAGAAAAAUUCUGCGAGAAGUGAGCUUAUAAAGGAAAAACAACGUGCUCUAGAACAAUCUCUGAAGAAAGACAAACGCACAGGAUG